Molecule: long non-coding RNA, 619 nt
Organism: Felis catus (domestic cat)
Lineage: Eukaryota; Metazoa; Chordata; Mammalia; Carnivora; Felidae
Exons: 3
Source: RefSeq, a predicted model, not a curated record
UUCUGAGACCUUGGUGUACAAGGGGAACUGGCUCACCCUGACCAAGCCCCUGGUGAGGCCAGAGGACGAAGGUAACUACCGCUGUGAGUUGGGCACCGUGGGAGUGAGCACACUCUAGGUCAUCCGUUUUCAAGUCUCAGGGUUGACUCAAAGAAUCACUGCGGAGACAAAUUCCAAGUCAUCAACCUUUGUAACCCAGCCAUCAACCAUUGGAACCCAGUCACCAGCCAUUAGAACCGAGGCCGAGGAGGAAAUCUGGGAUGACCUUUCCCCAACCCUCGUGCACUCAGAGUGUUCAAAGCCCGAAAAUGUGCAGACCGGCCGUCUGAUAGGGCUGCUUCUCUGGUGCUUUUUCCUGCUGAUCAUAGGAUUUUUCACUGGCGUACUUUGCUUUCGGUCUGGGAUGGUGAUCGAUUCCAUAAAGUCCAGAUUCCGCACCGACAAGGCAGCUGCUCCACAGGACCAGCUUCCACAGAGUUGGCUGUCACAGAACCAGCUGUCACAUGACCAGCUGUCACAGAGUCCGCUCUCAGAAACCCAGGUUCCGAAAGCUGAGAAACUUCCGAAGGAAUAGGCCACAGUCCCAAGGCGCAAAUAAAGAUUUAUCUGGUUGUCUCUA